RNAcentral lists this long non-coding RNA (461 nucleotides) under Homo sapiens (human). RNAcentral's name for it is "HSALNT0313987". Lineage: Eukaryota; Metazoa; Chordata; Mammalia; Primates; Hominidae. The record is from RNAcentral.
UUUUCUUUUUCCUCCCUGUGGUCAUCACCUACCAUUUAUCUGAUUAUGACUCAAAAGGAAACAUGUGUGUUGAUUUAGACUGCUUCAACAUUCCAGUUCCAAUCUGAAGCUAUCUAUCUUCCCAAAUGGAAUGUUAUGCAGACCUCUUGUCCUCCCUCCUGCUUGUUGUGGCAGAGAUUUAUACUUGUAAUUUCCCAGAACAUUUGAAUUAGAGAUGUGAGCCCCGAUGCCAACUGUCUACAGGUUGAAGUUAUAAAGAGGCUUAGGCACAUCAUGUUGAAGGGAGCAAUUUGGGAAGGAUAAAGCUGUUGAUGAAUGGCCAAAAAAGGACAAGUUAAGGGGAAAAAUUGGAACCAAAGAGCCCAGAUUGUGAGUUCCUUGAAAGAAGAAUCUGUGUCUUGUGCACCAUUGUUCUUCCUUACCUGUAACAGAAACCCUGGCACCAGGUAGGCAAGUCUUUG